UCACCCAGGUAUGAAGUGGUGACCGAAAGC
This 30-nucleotide non-coding RNA is filed under the name Homo sapiens (human). The record is from RNAcentral. Lineage: Eukaryota; Metazoa; Chordata; Mammalia; Primates; Hominidae.